Molecule: long non-coding RNA, 909 nt
Filed under: Fukomys damarensis (Damara mole-rat)
Lineage: Eukaryota; Metazoa; Chordata; Mammalia; Rodentia; Bathyergidae
Description: lncRNA (ENSFDAG00000032467.1)
Source: RNAcentral
AACGGGGGCGCGCACGCCGCCCUCUGAACCCGCGCCGUCGCUGUGGGGCGCAGGGCGCUGAAACCUGGGCUGGAGCGCUCUAUGAGGUGAUUUCCUCACUGCCGGUGUGGCUCUACCUCUAUUGUACCAAGUCCUUUUCGAUUUUAGAAUCUUGCAUUCUCGGAAGAAGUCUAGAGCCCUCAUUUCAGAGGAAAUAAGCCCAAGGAGAGCGACUUGUCUUCUCGUAGAUGUGGGUCGCUGUUCUCCCGUCCGCUCACUGGCGCUGCACCGGGAUAAUCUCUGGAGUGGCUCUUAUAAGUGAAAAACUGGCCAGUGAUCUGCCUUUAGAAAGCUACCUCACUUCUGUGUAUAAGGUAUGUGUGUGCCCUGCAUCCAUCUCAAAGAGCUGCAUGAACAGACAUAAGGGCGUGCCCUUUAAAGUGGUUGAUAAUUUUAAUCGCAUCCUGCAAAAUUUUGUUUAGGUGACAUUUUUCAGCUAGCCAGCAUUUUUGUAUCGACAUAGACUCACGUGCAGAAGUGACUUCUUUGACCCAAGUAGUGAAAUUAAAAAGCUGUCCAGUGAUGGCAGUUGUUCCACUCAUGUAUAUAGUAUCACAAAAUGACCAGUUCUAUUUUUGUGAUUUGUAAUCAUUGAAUAAUUCUGAGGCUGGGGUGUUAGUACAACAAAAGUACACGUAACCUAUCUUCAUGUAUAUCUUCCUAAAAAUGUAGCACACAAAAACAAGAAUUGUUGCCUUGUCAACAUUGCUAAACUUGCCAUCCUGGAUUGCAUACCACAGUGACUCAUUGGUCCCCUAAAUAUUGAGAUUCAAUAUUCUCCACUUUUUCAUGAAUUCAUGUUGUUAAUGGUGGUAGCCAAAAGAGGAACAUAUGCUUUUGAACUGCAAUCUAUCCUAAAAGUUCACCACA